RNAcentral lists this long non-coding RNA (590 nucleotides) under Monodelphis domestica (gray short-tailed opossum). RNAcentral's name for it is "lncRNA (ENSMODG00000039148.1)". Lineage: Eukaryota; Metazoa; Chordata; Mammalia; Didelphimorphia; Didelphidae. The record is from RNAcentral.
AGCAUCUCUAGGCGAUCAUAAAUAAAGAAAAAUAAAAUGGGAGCAGAGCAAAAGAAGAGGCGCUCAGUAGGAAACUUCAACGCUAUAGUUUAUAUGCCUUUCCAGUAUCUCUUGCUUCCAACGUUUACUCUGGCAACUGACCUUGUUCAGUGGGGUAUCUAUGGAUUGGGGCAUGAUGAAGCAUAUUGUGAUAUACAAAGCAUAAUAUUAUAGCAAUACAAAGAAUGGAAAAAAUGAAGAAUUCAGAGAAGCAUGAAAUAAUUUAUAUGAAUUCACUUAAAGCAAGAAAAGAGGACAGAAAUAACAUGUAUGUUGACAUUAGCAUAUAACUGAAGAAAACACAAGAAGCCAGCAAAAACCAGAUCAAAUGAGAUUGUCAAUGCUGAUUCCAGUUAUUGGAACAACUCCUUCUCCUCACUGAAGAAGAAAUGAACUACAGGUAAAGAAUAUCACACUCACUAUUAAUUGUAGAUUCUAUAAUGAGGUUUUAUUUAAUAGUUUUUUUUGGACAAGGUCAUUGAGAUUUUCCAUUCAAGGGAUAUAUUGAUAAAUGUCUGACAGAUGGCUCUCCAAAAAACAAAAUUGCUAAC